RNAcentral lists this ribosomal RNA (464 nucleotides) under Vreelandella stevensii. Its description in RNAcentral is "partial 16S ribosomal RNA". It matches the Rfam family "Bacterial small subunit ribosomal RNA", at positions 338 to 795 of the family's 1533-position model. Lineage: Bacteria; Pseudomonadati; Pseudomonadota; Gammaproteobacteria; Oceanospirillales; Halomonadaceae. The record is from RNAcentral.
CCUACGGGUGGCAGCAGUGGGGAAUAUUGGACAAUGGGCGAAAGCCUGAUCCAGCCAUGCCGCGUGUGUGAAGAAGGCCUUCGGGUUGUAAAGCACUUUCAGUGGGGAAGAAAGCCUUGGGGCUAAUACCCUCGAGGAAGGACAUCACCCACAGAAGAAGCACCGGCUAACUCCGUGCCAGCAGCCGCGGUAAUACGGAGGGUGCGAGCGUUAAUCGGAAUUACUGGGCGUAAAGCGCGCGUAGGCGGUCUGAUAAGCCGGUUGUGAAAGCCCCGGGCUCAACCUGGGAACGGCAUCCGGAACUGUCAGGGUAGAGUGCAGGAGAGGAAGGUAGAAUUCCCGGUGUAGCGGUGAAGUGCGUAGAGAUCGGGAGGAAUACCAGUGGCGAAGGCGGCCUUCUGGACUGACACUGACGCUGAGGUGCGAAAGCGUGGGUAGCAAACAGGAUUAGAUCCCUAGUAGUC